UACCGAGGGUGCGAGCGUUAAUCGGAAUUACUGGGCGUAAAGCGUGCGUAGACGGUUAUAUAAGUCGGGUGUGAAAGCCCCGGGCUCAACCUGGGAAUUGCAUUCGAGACUGCAUAGCUAGGGUGCGGAAGAGGGAAGCGGAAUUUCCGGUGUAGCGGUGAAAUGCGUAGAUAUCGGAAGGAACAUCAGUGGCGAAAGCGGCUUCCUGGUCCAGCACCGACGUUCAGGCACGAAAGCGUGGGGAGCAAACAGG
RNAcentral lists this ribosomal RNA (253 nucleotides) under uncultured bacterium. RNAcentral describes it as "partial 16S ribosomal RNA". It matches the Rfam family "Bacterial small subunit ribosomal RNA", at positions 524 to 776 of the family's 1533-position model. The record is from RNAcentral.